Molecule: small RNA, 493 nt
Filed under: Pan troglodytes (chimpanzee)
Lineage: Eukaryota; Metazoa; Chordata; Mammalia; Primates; Hominidae
Description: processed transcript
Source: RNAcentral
GCGAACCUUGCGGGCGUCCGUCUGGAGCCGCAGGCUCGGGUGCUCCCGCAGAAAGGCCCGCACGUCGGCCGGCAACUCGCUCAUGGCCGAGGCGCCCGCGGAGCAGCCCGGCGGAAGCCGCUCGCAGAACCUGGAGCCGGGGGCGGGGCUCUGGGCGGGACUCAGCGGCGCCCCGGAUGCAGAUGCCUCCUGCGUCCCGGAAGCGCCCGCGGGGCUGGGUGCGAUGGCGGCGGGGGCUGCGUCGCAGCUGGGGCUGCGGGCGGCGGGGCUGGGACGGGCCCCGGCCAGCGCCGCCUGGAGGAGCGUCCUCAGGGUCUCCCCGCGCCCAGGUGAGGGCUGCAGGCCGGGCUGUGAUCCAGGCGCCUGGGCAGAGCCACCUGCUGUCUGCCCUGCACUUUGAAGGGUUGUCGUGGGGAUUGAAAUGAACCAACUGCCGGCUGAGCGGAGGCUCCCUGGGAGUGACAAGUUCCGUAUUAAAAUGCUUUCAGUGGAA